AUUAUUUUGCAUUAUUCCUCGUAUAUUUAAAAAAAUGUUCAACCACCUUUUUUUGUUUCAUCGUUAAUCGUAAUUAAAAUAAUACUGCUACCUUAAAAAUAUUUUGCGCCGUACGAUACUGCAUUUCAUAAUGAUCAACCGUUGCCAUUAAGGUAAUGAUCGUUUUUUUGUUUCGUUUGAAUCGUUCGAAAGUGUUCGUUCAUAUUGAACUCAUUAUUAAUUUAUUUUCAUAAUAUCUAACGUAAUAUUACAGUAGCAUACAAUUUUAUUCUGUCUGAUAAUAUGGAAAAGAAAGAAAGAAAGAAGAAAAAAAAGAAAAAAAGAAAAAUGAAAAAAGAAACCCAUCGAUGAGAGUACAAUCGUCGUUAGUUGAAGAAGAUUCACAAUGAUACGAGGAAUUUACAAACAAUUGCAUUGAGAAUUAAACGGGAUUACUUUUUUCUAUCGAAAUCAAAUCAAGACCAGUUAAUAGGAAGUUCCAUAGUAUGGAAUUUGCCCUUGGGCAUAUCUUUCUCUACGUAUAGAUGAAAUCACAACCGUAGAUAGAGAAACGGAAAUAAGAAAGUUUCUUAUCCCCACGAAGAUUUACGAGUCAACUUUUUUUUGAGGUGAUUUUUAUGAUCACUUAGAACUGACGAUCUUUCGGUCAAGCCGUCUGCUGUUGCUUCCUGCCAGGUCAAAGACCUAACAGCCCUUAGAAGGCCGUCUUCAGACUUUCGGUGAAAGUACAUACAUAUAUUUCGUCCUUGAACUGGAAGCCUUCGAACGAUCGACGCAGUGAAAUAUUUCAUGGUGUAUCAUAUAAUCUUCGAAAGGAGAAACAUGAAUUGAUCAAACUUUCGGCUGCCUCCUGAUACAUCAUUGACAUUCUUGAAGUUGUGAUAUCUGGUCGAUGUCCUUGAUGCAUACAAGCACAAUAAAGUGGAUGUAAUAUAAUACACAUAGGACUUUUUCUAACUCUAAGAGAAAUCGUGACAUCUUGUCAAAAAUCUUCGCCAAUUAUCUUGGCCGCCAGCGCACCAGCUAACUCCACGUGCUUCAAUGAAAGUUCCAAUAGCGAAUUCUUCCAAAGCACCACUACCAGCUACGAGAGAAUCACCAAGACCACCGAUCACAUCAAUGUCACCCGGUCUUAAUCUAUGAACACUUUCCGCAAACCUGCCGAAACGAAUGUUACAAGGAAAUGGUACUGCGUCUGGUAUGACUGGCUGCCUUCGUACACCAUCGAAAAUCAUUGGAUAAACUAUACCAUUGGUAUUGAGAUCUUCCUGGAAUAAGAGAAAAGAGGAGAAGAAGAAUCUCAGAAAAAAAAAGAAAGAAAGAAAGAAAGAAAGAAAGAUGAGAGAAAAUUUCAAACAAGUAAUACAGUAAUACAUUUCUAAUUUUCAUCCGUGUUAUAAGAGUUAUUUAUUCGGGGGAAAAAAAAGAAGCAUUUAAUGAAUGCAUUAGAAUUAUGGUAUUUUUAUUCUUUGAAUAAACUGUACGAGUCACGUUCUAGGAUAAUUUUGAAAGGGAAUGAGAAAAUUAAAUUGGACGAAAUGAAACGUAAGAAUUGUGAAGAAAUGAUUUCCUCAAUGAUAUCUUAUAUCUCUUACGUGUAUAUGUAUGUAUAACAUAAUACAUUUUAUAAAAAGAAAUCUACUUGAA
Molecule: long non-coding RNA, 1647 nt
Organism: Vespa crabro (European hornet)
Lineage: Eukaryota; Metazoa; Arthropoda; Insecta; Hymenoptera; Vespidae
Exons: 7
Source: RefSeq, a predicted model, not a curated record